GCAUAUCAAUAAGCGGAGGAAAAGAAACCAACCGGGAUUGCCCUAGUAACGGCGAGUGAAGCGGCAAAAGCUCAAAUUUGAAAUCUGGUACCUUCGGUGCCCGAGUUGUAAUUUGGAGAGGGCAACUUUGGCGCCGUUCCUUGUCUAUGUUCCUUGGAACAGGACGUCAUAGAGGGUGAGAAUCCCGUGUGGCGAGGAGUGCGGUUCUUUGUAAAGUGCCUUCGAAGAGUCGAGUUGUUUGGGAAUGCAGCUCUAAGUGGGUGGUAAAUUCCAUCUAAAGCUAAAUAUUGGCGAGAGACCGAUAGCGAACAAGUACAGUGAUGGAAAGAUGAAAAGAACUUUGAAAAGAGAGUGAAAAAGUACGUGAAAUUGUUGAAAGGGAAGGGCAUUUGAUCAGACAUGGUGUUUUGUGCCCUCUGCUCCUUGUGGGUAGGGGAAUCUCGCAUUUCACUGGGCCAGCAUCAGUUUUGGUGGCAGGAUAAAUCCAUAGGAAUGUAGCUUGCCUCGGUAAGUAUUAUAGCCUGUGGGAAUACUGCCAGCUGGGACUGAGGACUGCGACGUAAGUCAAGGAUGCUGGCAUAAUGGUUAUAUGCCGCCCGU
Molecule: ribosomal RNA, 600 nt
Filed under: Saccharomyces cerevisiae (brewer's yeast)
Lineage: Eukaryota; Fungi; Ascomycota; Saccharomycetes; Saccharomycetales; Saccharomycetaceae
Description: partial large subunit ribosomal RNA
Rfam family: Eukaryotic large subunit ribosomal RNA
Source: RNAcentral